RNAcentral lists this ribosomal RNA (497 nucleotides) under uncultured bacterium. RNAcentral's name for it is "partial 16S ribosomal RNA". It matches the Rfam family "Bacterial small subunit ribosomal RNA", at positions 28 to 507 of the family's 1533-position model. The record is from RNAcentral.
GAUGAACGCUGGCGGCGUGCCUAAUACAUGCAAGUCGAGCGAACAGACGAGGAGCUUGCUCCUCUGACGUUAGCGGCGGACGGGUGAGUAACACGUGGAUAACCUACCUAUAAGACUGGGAUAACUUCGGGAAACCGGAGCUAAUACCGGAUAAUAUAUUGAACCGCAUGGUUCAAUAGUGAAAGACGGUUUUGCUGUCACUUAUAGAUGGAUCCGCGCCGCAUUAGCUAGUUGGUAAGGUAACGGCUUACCAAGGCAACGAUGCGUAGCCGACCUGAGAGGGUGAUCGGUCACACUGGAACUGAGACACGGUCCCGACUCCUACGGGAGGCAGCAGUAGGGAAUCUUCCGCAAUGGGCGAAAGCUUGACGGAGCAACGCCGCGUGAGUGAUGAAGGUCUUCGGAUCGUAAAACUCUGUUAUUAGGGAAGAACAAAUGUGUAAGUAACUAUGCACGUCUUGACGGUACCUAAUCAGAAAGCCACGGCUAACUACGUG